This 74-nucleotide ribosomal RNA is filed under the name Limosilactobacillus reuteri. Its description in RNAcentral is "Lactobacillus reuteri partial 23S ribosomal RNA". The record is from RNAcentral. Lineage: Bacteria; Bacillati; Bacillota; Bacilli; Lactobacillales; Lactobacillaceae.
GUAGCUAGGAUGGAAGUGGAAGUGCCGUGAGACAUGGUGCGGACCAUUACUAAUCUGUCGAGGACUUAACUAAG